GGUUUUAACAACAACCCAGAUAGGAAAUCAUUCAGAAUGACAUGAAGGUGAAUAAUUGUGUGAUCAACGGAGAACCUUGAAUAGCCUGAGAGUUACACUUGUAAAAAUUACAAUACAAAUACAUCCAUUACAAAUGUCUUGUAAAAGGAAAGGUUUAUUACCUUUGUUGUAUUUUGAACACCUUAUAUUUCUCAUGAUCACAUGAAAAUGUUCAAAUGAUUUUUUAGCAGCCUUGCUCCUAGGGAAACAUCUUUUUUUUAUAUAUAUAUUUUUUUUUAUCCAAAGGAAAGGCUAACUGGUUUCCACAUUCUUGACAAGGACACAGGAAAGAAUGUGAUACUAAAAAUUGUAAAAUGUUUAUUGUCAAUAUACCUCUUAUUUACAUCCCACUUCCUUUAUUCUUUCAGCAACCAAUGAAAGCAAGAGGCAUGUUUAGAUACAGCUAUCAUCCAUUUUUUGUGAAGCUCAACAGCUGCUCACUGCUACACAGAAACGCUAUUCGGACUGGAAAUAAAUGUUUUGACUGGAUUUGACAAACACAUUUAGCUAAUCAAAAUAUGAAUAUCUGAGAUUGAGGAUAGAAAGCAGAACUGCAACUUCUGUUCAUGUUAAAAAUUCAGCAAAUUCAGUAUCAGGAGAGUGGAACUGUAUCCUUACAUCACAGUCAUACACGACUACAAUGCUAGUUUGUGGCCAAUAUUCAUUCUGCCAUAGCUCUUUCUAGUUAGUGAGACAGUCACAGGAGAAGGUUGAAUAUCUGCACAUGAGAAGAGCAAGACACUUCUAGAGAAAACACGAAAACAGCUGUUGUAUUAAUUUACUUACAUGAAUAUGCACCAAUAUGUUUCCCCUCCAUUUCUCUGCAGGUUGCCUGCUACUAUCAAUGUGAACAGCAUAGGAUAAUAUGCCUUUUGGUGUCUUCAGUGCUUUUGCAGUAAUAAGAAACAGCACAUGCAGCCAGCCUUCAGAGCAAGCUAUGUAUUUCAUUCCUGCCAAUGAAGAGAGCAGUUGCUGUUUUCCACCCCUCAUGUUUACUGCCCAGAACUACCACUCACAAGCAGUAUGGGGACAAUGCAUAAGCAGUUAGUUAUCUACCUGAAGUACGUUCGCAUUCACAGUAAAGGACAAACAGUUGAACUCCUCUUGCAAGACGUCAUUUGGUUAACUGGUCCUUCUGUCUGGGAAGGAGAUGUCACCUUCUUUGGGGGUUUUAAAAAUCACAUUAGAAAACAUAAAUAGGAGUUCUUAAUCAGCAGAAUCUGCUUUGCACAAGUGCCAUAGCAUUAGAGGAAUUUUACAUCAGACUGCAGCUGUUACCUAAGCAGAAGCGGAAUUCCACCUAGCCACAAAGAACGAGGCACACGAAUAGCUGCGUUGUCUCAAGACCGGGUCGCUCGCAUCUCCUC
This 1406-nucleotide long non-coding RNA is filed under the name Coturnix japonica (Japanese quail). RNAcentral's name for it is "lncRNA (ENSCJPG00005016785.1)". The record is from RNAcentral. Lineage: Eukaryota; Metazoa; Chordata; Aves; Galliformes; Phasianidae.